Long non-coding RNA from Frieseomelitta varia, 502 nucleotides. RefSeq lists it as uncharacterized. The record is from RefSeq and is a predicted model, not a curated record. The transcript has 3 exons. NCBI's taxonomy places the organism in Eukaryota, Metazoa, Arthropoda, Insecta, Hymenoptera, Apidae.
AACCGCGAACGUCACCUGCGAAUUUUAAACGUAAUCUUGCGCAAGAGCGUGCAAUAAAGAGUAAAAUGCAACUUUCAUCUGAAAAUUUCCCAUUGCCACACACAAAGAAGAUCCAUAAAUUAAAACGGCUCGCGAGACUUAAAAAGGAGCGCUGAAAAUGAAAAAAAAAUUGACUUUAUUAUAUUUAUUAAGAUAAGGAGCGUUAAUUGCGGUAAUUAGCGCUGGUAUGAAUAAUAUUACGGCCUGAUGUAUCAGGGAUUGUUAAAAGUAACACAGAAGCUAUUUCAAGCGCCAUUCACGAGGCAAUGCUUAAGAGUCAGAGUGAGUGUGUGUGUGUGUGAGAGAGAGAGGAUGGAUUCCGCUCCAGUUCGUUUCCAUUAGCUCUUUUUUAAACAAGAUGUAACAACUUUUCUUUUUAUCUAUAUUAUGCAUCUUAUUGUUACUUUAUAGCAACGCGUUAUUUACAUUGUUAGUAACGCGAGGUUAAGAGGAACACGAAGCC